Molecule: long non-coding RNA, 223 nt
Filed under: Capsicum annuum
Lineage: Eukaryota; Viridiplantae; Streptophyta; Magnoliopsida; Solanales; Solanaceae
Description: long non-coding RNA (CANN_LNC007122)
Source: RNAcentral
GGCGACCGAAAUAACAAUCUCAAAGAUUAAUUGAACUAAGUGAUGGAAGUUCUCUCUUAUCGGGUGGUAUCCCAGGGGCAUAAGCCUAUCAUGGGUUGAUCCCUAUUUAUGUGUUUAUGGGUGGUAUCCCAGGGGCAUAAGCCUAUCAUGGGUCGAUCCCAGUUGAUAUGUACUGGAGGCAGCCUAAUGGUCACAGUACAAUACAGUAAUGAUUAUGAAGAUG